AUACGGAGGCUGCGAGCGUUAAUCGGAAUUACUGGGCGUAAAGCGUGCGUAGGCGGUUUGCUAAGUCAGAUGUGAAAGCCCCGGGCUUAACCGGGGAACUGCAUUUGAUACUGGCAGACUAGAGUAUGAUAGAGGGGGGUAGAAUUCCUGGUGUAGCGGUGAAAUGCGUAGAUAUCAGGAGGAAUACCAGUGGCGAAGGCGGCCCCCUGGAUCAAUACUGACGCUGAGGUACGAAAGCGUGGGGAGCGAACAGGAUUAGAAACCCUAGUAGUCC
RNAcentral lists this ribosomal RNA (274 nucleotides) under uncultured bacterium. Its description in RNAcentral is "partial 16S ribosomal RNA". It matches the Rfam family "Bacterial small subunit ribosomal RNA", at positions 523 to 796 of the family's 1533-position model. The record is from RNAcentral.